RNAcentral lists this ribosomal RNA (516 nucleotides) under uncultured Thermotogae bacterium. Its description in RNAcentral is "bacterial SSU rRNA". It matches the Rfam family "Bacterial small subunit ribosomal RNA", at positions 355 to 893 of the family's 1533-position model. The record is from RNAcentral. Lineage: Bacteria; Thermotogati; Thermotogota; Thermotogae.
UGGGGGAUCUUGGACAAUGGGCGAAAGCCUGAUCCAGCGACGCCGCGUGGAGGAUGAAGCCCUUCGGGGUGUAAACUCCUUUUGUCGGGGAAAAAGGGCUGAUGGUACCCGACGAAUAAGCCCCGGCUAACUACGUGCCAGCAGCCGCGGUAAUACGUAGGGGGCGAGCGUUACCCGGAAUUACUGGGCGUAAAGGGUGCGUAGGCGGCCCCGUGUGUCCGGUGUAAAAGUCCACGGCUCAACCGUGGGUAUGCGCUGGAAACUGCGGGGCUUGGGUGCGGCAGAGGCAGACGGAACUGCUGGUGUAGGGGUGAAAUCCGUAGAUAUCAGCAGGAACGCCGGUGGAGAAGUCGGUCUGCUGGGCCGUAACCGACGCUGAGGCACGAAAGCUAGGGGAGCGAACCGGAUUAGAUACCCGGGUAGUCCUAGCCGUAAACGAUGCUCACUAGGUGUGGGGCGUAGAGCUCCGUGCUGAAGCUAACGCGUUAAGGAGCCGCCUGGGAUUCGCCCCACUGG